RNAcentral lists this ribosomal RNA (815 nucleotides) under Candidatus Regiella insecticola. RNAcentral's name for it is "bacterial SSU rRNA". It matches the Rfam family "Bacterial small subunit ribosomal RNA", at positions 29 to 833 of the family's 1533-position model. The record is from RNAcentral. Lineage: Bacteria; Pseudomonadati; Pseudomonadota; Gammaproteobacteria; Enterobacterales; Enterobacteriaceae.
UUAAACGCUGGCGGCAGGCCUAACACAUGCAAGUCGAGCGGCAGCGGGGAGUAGCUUGCUACUCUGCCGGCGAGCGGCGGACGGGUGAGUAAAGUCUGGGGAUCUGGCUUAUGGAAGGGGAUAACCAUUGGAAACGGUGGCUAAUACCGCAUGAUGUCGCAAGACCAAAGUGGGGGACUUUAGGGCCUCACGCCAUAAGAUGAACCCAGAUGAGAUUAGCUAGUAGGUGCGGUAAUGGCGUACCUAGGCGACGAUCUCUAGCUGGUCUGAGAGGAUGACCAGCCACACUGGAACUGAGAAACGGUCCAGACUCCUACGGGAGGCAGCAGUGGGGAAUAUUGCACAAUGGGCGGAAGCCUGAUGCAGCCAUGCCGCGUGUGUGAAGAAGGCCUUAGGGUUGUAAAGCACUUUCAGCGGGGAGGAAGGCGGUAAGAGUAAUAUGCUUAUCGAUUGACGUUACCCGCAAAAGAAGCACCGGCUAACUCCGUGCCAGCAGCCGCGGUAAUACGGAGGGUGCGAGCGUUAAUCGGAAUAACUGGGCGUAAAGGGCAUGUAGGCGGUAAGUUAAGUCAGAUGUGAAAUCCCCGAGCUUAACUUGGGAACGGCAUUUGAGACUGGCUGGCUAGAGUUUUGUAGAGGGGGGUAGAAUUCCAGGUGUAGCGGUGAAAUGCGUAGAGAUCUGGAGGAAUACCGGUGGCGAAGGCGGCCCCCUGGACAAGGACUAACGCUGAGGUGCGAAAGCGUGGGUAGCAAACAGGAUUAGAUACCCUGGUAGUCCACGCUGUAAACGAUGUCGAUCUGGAGGUUGUGGCCUA